RNAcentral lists this ribosomal RNA (328 nucleotides) under uncultured eukaryote. RNAcentral's name for it is "partial 18S ribosomal RNA". It matches the Rfam family "Eukaryotic small subunit ribosomal RNA", at positions 1470 to 1796 of the family's 1831-position model. The record is from RNAcentral.
CCCUUAGAUGUCCGGGGCUGCACGCGCGCUACACUGAAGGAAUCAGCGUGCUAAAACCAUUGUCGAAAGGCAUUGGUAAACCCAUUAAAAUCCUACGUGAUUGGGAUCGGGAAUUGCAAUUAUUUCCCUUGAACGAGGAAUUCCCAGUAAGUGUGGGUCAUAAGCUCGCGUUGAUUACGUCCCUGCCCUUUGUACACACCGCCCGUCGCUGCCCGGGACUGAGCCGUUUCGAGAAAAGCGGGGACUGCUGCUGUCGGGGCUUUCGGGCCUUGGCUUCGGUGGAAACCGCUUUAAUCGCAGUGGCUUGAGCCGGGCAAAAGUCGUANCA